This 26-nucleotide non-coding RNA is filed under the name Homo sapiens (human). The record is from RNAcentral. Lineage: Eukaryota; Metazoa; Chordata; Mammalia; Primates; Hominidae.
UCCUUCCUAAGUACUGCCUACACAGA